RNAcentral lists this long non-coding RNA (410 nucleotides) under Parus major (Great Tit). RNAcentral describes it as "lncRNA (ENSPMJG00000015420.1)". Lineage: Eukaryota; Metazoa; Chordata; Aves; Passeriformes; Paridae. The record is from RNAcentral.
GUGCUGCAACAUGGCCUCCUCCUCCUUCCCCUCGCGUCCCGCGGCACGGGGCGGUAGGGACCAGGUAUUUCCUAAAAGGAGUGUUGGAAUCCUUUCAGAGUCUGCGGGGAGUCUGGAGUCCCAGCACUGAGGUUUCUGCAUGUAAUGCAUCAAUAUUACUUGUAAUGCUUGGUUUAACCUUGAGUUUUGGCUGCUUAUAGUGUAAGAUAUUGCUCAAGGAAGUACUAAGCGGUCCAUCUGCAAAGUGAUCCUGCAGUUAACGCUGAAUGCCGUAAGUUUUUUGUUAAAUUAAGCUUGUGGGUUUCUACAUGUAUUAGGGGCAACCUGGCUUUUGGGCUGGCCUGCUUUCUCCAUGCUCUUAGUCCUGUAGUUAGGCUUUGGAAUUGCUUGGCUGUUUGGGUUUGGAUGGU